Non-coding RNA from Parelaphostrongylus tenuis, 70 nucleotides. NCBI's taxonomy places the organism in Eukaryota, Metazoa, Nematoda, Chromadorea, Rhabditida, Metastrongylidae. The record is from the annotation of a GenBank genome assembly.
ACCUUGGUAGUGUAGUGGUAGCAAGCGUUCCCCGUAUUAUGAAACGCUGGUUCGACUCCGGCCCCAGGUC